Molecule: transfer RNA, 72 nt
Filed under: Gammaproteobacteria bacterium
Lineage: Bacteria; Pseudomonadati; Pseudomonadota; Gammaproteobacteria
Description: tRNA-Pro
Rfam family: tRNA
About the family: Transfer RNA (tRNA) molecules are approximately 80 nucleotides in length.
Source: RNAcentral
UUGGAAUUAGCUCAGCGGAUAGAGCAACAGCCUUGGGAGCUGUCGGCGCCGGUUCGAUUCCGGCAUUCCAAC